RNAcentral lists this ribosomal RNA (259 nucleotides) under uncultured prokaryote. RNAcentral describes it as "partial 16S ribosomal RNA". It matches the Rfam family "Bacterial small subunit ribosomal RNA", at positions 524 to 782 of the family's 1533-position model. The record is from RNAcentral.
UACGUAGGUGGCAAGCGUUAUCCGGAAUUAUUGGGCGUAAAGAGCGCGCAGGUGGUUGAUUAAGUCUGAUGUGAAAGCCCACGGCUCAACCGUGGAAGGUCAUUGGAAACUGGGGAACUUGAGUGCAGAAGAGGAGAGUGGAAUUCCAUGUGUAGCGGUGAAAUGCGUAGAUAUAUGGAGGAACACCAGUGGCGAAGGCGGCUUUCUGGCCAGUUACUGACGCUCAUGCGCGAAAGCUGGGGUAGCGAACCGGAUUAGA